CACUUUAUAGCUUGCAGACGAUUCUCAAAAACAAACGUUUCUACGCACAUUCAGCGAGGCUGCAUUACAAUCACCCAAGAGCCCAUUUUCUGACAUUAUUGACAGCAUUUCGCAAACAUUACCUCCACUUUGACUUCCAUCGAGAAUAUCUUGAACUAGCGCUUGUUACAUAGCCGAGAAUAUUGUAUGAUACAUGUUAACUGUUGUUGCAAAACAACUUAGUGAGAUCAAUUUAUGAAGAUUCGCUGUUAUAUUUAUUUAUGUAUAUAGACUGUACUAUUUUAUCGUAAAGUAAUGGCAUAAAACAUAUUUUUUCUGUUGAAAAA
Nilaparvata lugens (brown planthopper) is the source of this 326-nucleotide long non-coding RNA. RefSeq lists it as uncharacterized. The record is from RefSeq and is a predicted model, not a curated record. NCBI's taxonomy places the organism in Eukaryota, Metazoa, Arthropoda, Insecta, Hemiptera, Delphacidae. The transcript is spliced from 2 exons.